GAAAUGCGAUAAGGAGUGUGAAUUGCAGAAUUCAGUGAAUCAUCGAAUCUUUGAACGCACAUUGCGCCCCUUGGUAUUCCAUGGGGCAUGCCUGUUCGAGCGUCAUUUGUACCCUCAAGCUCUGCUUGGUGUUGGGUGUUUGUCCCCGUCUCCGCGCGUGGACUCGCCCCAAAGUGAUUGGCAGCCGGCGUACUGGUCCCGGAGCGCAGCACAUGUCGCGCAAACGAGUGCCUUGGUACGGCGGCGUCCAUAAGCCCCUCUCUCACGCUCUUGACCUCGGAUCAGGUAGGGAUACCCGCUGAACUUAAGC
Molecule: unclassified non-coding RNA, 310 nt
Filed under: plant metagenome
Description: partial contains 5.8S ribosomal RNA, internal transcribed spacer 2, and large subunit ribosomal RNA
Rfam family: 5.8S ribosomal RNA (bases 1-105)
Source: RNAcentral